This 864-nucleotide ribosomal RNA is filed under the name uncultured archaeon. RNAcentral's name for it is "bacterial SSU rRNA". It matches the Rfam family "Archaeal small subunit ribosomal RNA", at positions 6 to 878 of the family's 1478-position model. The record is from RNAcentral.
GGUUGAUCCCGCCGGACCUGACUGCUAUCGGAUUGGUACUAAGCCAUGCGAGUCAUUGUAGCAAUACAAGGCGGACGGCUCAGUAACACGUAGUCAACCUAACUCGUGGACGUGGAUAACCUCGGGAAACUGAGAAUAAACCACGAUAGAUCAUAGUGCCUGGAAUGGCUUAUGGUCCAAACAGUUUACUGCCAUGGGAUGGGACUGCGGCCUAUCAGCUUGUUGGUGAGGUAAUGGCCCACCAAGGCGAUUACAGGUACGGGCUCUGAGAGGAGAAGCCCGGAGAUGGGUACUGAGACACGGACCCAGGCCCUAUGGGGCGCAGCAGGCGAGAAACCUUAGCAAUGUGCGAAAGCACGACUGGGUCAGUCCGAGUGAUUCCUGAUAAAGGAGUCUUUUGCUUGUCCUAAAAGCACAGGUGAAUAAGGGGUGGGCAAGUCUGGUGUCAGCCGCCGCGGUAAUACCAGCACCUCGAGUGGUCAGGACGUUUAUUGGGCCUAAAGCAUCCGUAGCCGGCUCUGCAAGUCUUCGGUUAAAUCCACCUGCUCAACAGAUGGGCUGCUGGAGAUACUACAGAGCUAGGGAGUGGGAGAGGCAGACGGUAUUCAGUGGGUAGGGGUAAAAUCCUCUGAUCCAUUGAGGACCACCAGUGGCGAAGGCGGUCUGCCAGAACACGUUCGACGGUGAGGGAUGAAAGCUGGGGGAGCAAACCGGAUUAGAUACCCGGGUAGUCCCAGCUGUAAACGAUGCAAACUCGGUGAUGCAUUGGCUUAUGGCCAAUGCAGUGCCGCAGGGAAGCCGUUAAGUUUGCCGCCUGGGAAGUACGGACGCAAGUCUGAAACUUAAAGGAAUUGGCGGGGAGCA